GGGUGUAUAGCUCAGUGCUAGAGCACUUGCCUAGUGUAUACGAGGUCCUGGGUUCAAUUCCCAGUACCACCA
This 72-nucleotide transfer RNA is filed under the name Rattus norvegicus (Norway rat). It matches the Rfam family "tRNA". From Rfam's summary of the family: Transfer RNA (tRNA) molecules are approximately 80 nucleotides in length. Their secondary structure includes four short double-helical elements and three loops (D, anti-codon, and T loops). The record is from Rfam by way of RNAcentral. Lineage: Eukaryota; Metazoa; Chordata; Mammalia; Rodentia; Muridae.